GUCGGUAUCGAUUAGGGGUUAAAUCACUUCGUUGUGGUGUUAAGUCAUAAUCCGAAGAGCCGCUGGUUCGAUUCCAGCUACCGACA
Molecule: transfer RNA, 86 nt
Filed under: Agrocybe pediades
Lineage: Eukaryota; Fungi; Basidiomycota; Agaricomycetes; Agaricales; Agrocybaceae
Rfam family: tRNA
About the family: Transfer RNA (tRNA) molecules are approximately 80 nucleotides in length. Their secondary structure includes four short double-helical elements and three loops (D, anti-codon, and T loops).
Source: Rfam by way of RNAcentral